Colius striatus (speckled mousebird) is the source of this 132-nucleotide non-coding RNA. NCBI's taxonomy places the organism in Eukaryota, Metazoa, Chordata, Aves, Coliiformes, Coliidae. The record is from Rfam.
AUCGAGACUAGAGUCACAUCUUCACAUGUUCGGUUGUCUUGGUGUGCUAUAGUUCUCGAACAUAAAUGCCUGAUCCUUAUUCACUGGCUGGGAUGGCUCAUAGCCCAGCCAGCCACCGGAUCAGGGACAGCA